CCCCUCUCAGGGUCGCACCUGGAGAGUUUUCAGUACUCUACCAGUCUUGGCUAUGGGAGGGAGAGUCAGGCAGAGGCACACCCGUUCCAUUCCUAGCUUGGCCAGUGGUUAGUGAGUGGAAGGCAAUCUCCUACAAGU
This 138-nucleotide small nucleolar RNA is filed under the name Ornithorhynchus anatinus (platypus). Lineage: Eukaryota; Metazoa; Chordata; Mammalia; Monotremata; Ornithorhynchidae. The record is from RNAcentral.